This is a non-coding RNA of Aegilops tauschii subsp. strangulata, 435 nucleotides long. NCBI's taxonomy places the organism in Eukaryota, Viridiplantae, Streptophyta, Magnoliopsida, Poales, Poaceae. The record is from RefSeq and is a predicted model, not a curated record.
UAUUACAGUUGGACUGAAGGAAUUGUAUAACGUAUUCCGAGGCUCCUUGGUGGUGGAGAUCGACUAUGCAGUGGGGAAAUGAGCUAGGGGCUGAUUCUAACUGUCAAGAGGGACAAACAAUGGGCUGGCUCAUGAACUAGCCAAUGAUGCUAAAGCUCAUGGAGACCUUGUGGUUGCGUAUGGUGUCCCGGACCAACUCCAUGAUCAGCUCUGGAAGGAAAACAAUGCAGCCUUGACGUCGGCCUAAGUCUUGAUGUAAUCCUCAAAAAAGAUACUGCUUGCAGACAUGUUAUACAUAAACAUGCAUGUUGUAGGUCUGUUAAUUUUAAUUUUGAAUACUGAGAUCUAUUCAGAUGCUUUCCUUACUCUUAUGGCUAAAAAAAUCCAGCAGACAGUGACUGAAAUUUGUUAGUUUCACUCAACGUGCUGCUGCUU